UGGGGGGUGGAGGGGCAGCAGGGGGAGGUGGGCGUCCACCGCCUCAGCGGCUGCAGCCUCUCCACACACGCGCCCUGCCACCAACCUCGAGGCCAAAAGGAGGUGUCUGUGAGCAGCUCCCACUCACCUCCCCAGAAAAGGGGCGGGCUGGGAAGUGCCGGGCAUGGCCGGCCGGCCGUCUGUAGCAGUCAGUGGGGGAGGUCACCCGCCCCACGUCCACCCCUGCCAGCCCAGCACCUGGAUCUGCUCGAAGGGGAUCUCGAAGCUGAAGGACUCGUUGAAGUACGGGUUCAGGGUCUUCUUCUUCACUGUCGUCUUCUUCUUCUUGAGCCUCUUGCCGUUCUGCAUCAGGUGGAUCUUCACGUAGGGGUCUGUGCGGAGGCAGCCGGCAAGGCCCUGAGCACGCGCCCGGCCCGCCAGCCCAGGGACGGCAGAGCCAGCUUCCAGGCCAGGGCGGCCAGAGGCUUCACCUCUGGGACCCUGCCAUGGCUGUGGCCGCCUGGAGCUCAGAGCUCUGCUGGGACUGGGACGGGCCUGCGCCAGCGCUCGGGCCCACAGGGAGAGCAGCGGAAAGGCAGCUCUCAGCGGGGCUCCCCGCCCCGUCCUGCCCUGAGGACCCAAAGCCGCUCAGACAGCCUGUGUGUCCCACGCAUCUGAGGCCUGCUAUCCAGGUUGAGGGCUCUGGGCCGCGACCGGCUGGCAGGUGCCCCCCGAUGGCGGCCAGAAGCCACGCACACACCUGAAAGGCCACCCACGUCCAUCUUCUUGAGGUUCUUGGCCUCCAGGAUGCAGACGAGCGAGCUGCUGUCCUCCAAGCCCUCGGCAUCCCUUUCCUUGUGUUAGCGUCACAGGGCAAGGACCUCGUGACUAGCAAGAGGGGGCUCCUGGGCCCGAGAGCUCGGCCAGCGCCAUGGCACAGUCGAGGCUUCUCAGAGGCGGGCCUCGGGACCCAGGCUGGCCACCUCGCCCACAGCCCGGUCAGGGUGCUGACCCUUCCUUCGGGCGACCUGAGCCCCGAGGUCCCUCCACUCCUCGAUGGGCUGCCCCAGGUCCACGGUGUUCAUGGGCACCUUUACCUCCCCGAUGAUGUCGUGUUUGGAGAAGCGGUCAAAGUCGUAGAUGGCCAUCACCAGGGUCUUGCCCCCCAGCUCCUGGAGGAAGACCUUGACAUAAGGGUCCGAGGUGCCGCCCAUGUCCAGGGCGGGCAGCUCCGCGGCCUGCAGGACGCCCACGGUGAGCUGUGGAGUGAGUGGGCGCCGGGUCAGCCCCGAGAGGGCGGGCGGGUGCUGGACAGGAAGUCGGCCUCCAUCUCCCUCCCCGGGGAAUCGGAGUAACACGGGGGAGACAGUCGCCGCGAGGUGACUGGUCUGCCCGAGGAGGGCAGCACGUGGACGGCGGGCAGGCUGAGCACAGCCCU
Delphinapterus leucas (beluga whale) is the source of this 1417-nucleotide long non-coding RNA. RefSeq lists it as uncharacterized. NCBI's taxonomy places the organism in Eukaryota, Metazoa, Chordata, Mammalia, Artiodactyla, Monodontidae. The record is from RefSeq and is a predicted model, not a curated record.